CUGACCGUCACCUGCUGCAAGUCACAUUUACAUAAUGCUGAGCCCUCGUCCAGAAAGCCUUGACGUGGUCCGACAAAACCCCAGAAGCCAUAAAUCCUUUCCCUUGCCCGAUUAAGUGGGAUGUUUCCAGCUUCAUUAUGCUUCGAUGACACUGGACUUCUUAAGGGGUGAGAGGGCAAGGAAUAAAUACACCCAUAAGGUGGUCAAGGAGUUGAUACAAAAGGAAGAUUAACGACAGAAAAACAGAGAGGGGAAACUUCUCCCGGGUUGACAUGAGGGGCAGAGACCCCACGAAGGCUCUGCAGCCCCCAUGGAGCCCGGGGGUCUCUGUCCCUCACCGGCUCGCCGAGAGGCCCGUCCCCAAGCGAAGCCUCCGAACCUCCCGUCUGGGCCUCCUCCUCCCCCGUCCCCGUCCCUCGCUUCUCCACAGGAACCCGGGCCGGGACCCGCCGCCAUGCGGCACUUGAGGGACCGCUCCCGCCGUCCUCACCCGCGGCCCCCGGAGGACAAACAGGAAUGAAGUGAAACUGAAUUAAACAAGGGCAACAGCAAGGUUGUGAGGUGGCAGAGAAGCACUGCUUGUCCCAGAUAGUCCCUGCACCCGAGUUACGCUGCAUGAGGAGCCCCUUGGCACAGCUGGCAGGAACUCACAUCUUCCACUUCUCAGAGCCAUCUGGGAUGUCUCUGCAAGGACUGCUAGACCAGAAACCAGCCCCUUGAACAGAAGCCAAGCAGGACAGAAGGAAACUCUGCUAGAAAUCACCGAGCGCCUAUUUAGCUUCAGACUGCCACGCUGCAGCUGCUGCACACUCUGCUGCUUCAGAUGUGGGAGGCAGAAGUGAUGAUACUUGGAGCAGACUCUGGGAAGCUGAACAGCACCUGAGAAUGCCGUGUUGUAGGAAUGGCUGCUCAUCUCACUUGCAUCUGAUCCCUUAACUGCCAAAUAGCUAAAAGAAAGAGUUGUCCCCAAUCCACUUAAACACUUUACACCUCUGUUUCUGGCUGCUCACCUGCUUUAGCCACAGAAAGAACUCCACAAGAGAAGCAAAACAUUUCCCCUUGCAGACUCAUCACCGGUUGGGGUCUAUUGCACAGUCUUCCAGAUGUUUGUUCAUUUAUUUGCAAUAAAUAGUUCACGCAGGUUGGCAGGAACAGGUGGCAAAAUUCACUGCACUGUAAAUUACUGUAUCUUCCCUUUCAACUUUCUCAAAUUAAAAAUACAGCUACCAACAUUUGCUAUGCUUUUGGAAAGGUGUCUUACAGCAAGACACUGCAAACACUACAGUUUUUCAGAAUUUAUCUCUGUACUAUUUAGACCUCAUAAUUUACAAUAAUUUCAUCUCCAUUUUGCUUCUGUAUUUGUUUCCUCUUAAGAGUUGCUCAUCUUAAAUGCCAGGAGCCAAUAUACCCCAGGAAGAAGCAUCCCAACCAACAGCCUCUUAGAUGCAGACUGAUGCAAAAUGAUAAUUUGUCUCAUUAGGAACCUUAUUACUUGCUCCUGGUAAUAUCAGACUAAUCAUUUUUUUUGAGGCUUCUGCUAUAUGCAUAAAACCAACCAAGACUGUGUAAGUAUUUGCUCUUCACAUUCUAGAACAGCUCAUGUAGCCUUGUAUACACCAGCUGCGAGUGAUUAUUUGCCCUUGUUUGUGUUAGGUCAAACUUCUAAGCUGUGAGGACACACUUUUGCUCAACCAGAAUCCUGAAAAAAUUAGAUUCAGCCAUAUUGAUUUAUCCCUUUCUUUCCUAGUGUCCUUUUGUUCAGUGAUAUUCAUGUCUCCUAAAUUAUCUUUUCUUGUAAUAGCAUUUAAAAGAGCUUUGUUUCUUUUAACUUUAGGACCUGUCAUUUAAUUAGUCUCCUUUUCUUUUGAACUCCCCUUUUCUAAAGAUGAAUGGCAGAGCAUCACAUUUUGGUAUCCUUCCUUUUCAACAGUGAAUAUAAUUAUCUGUCCUAUGACUCAGCUACCAUUGCUCUAGGAAUUACCUUGUGUGCAUUAUUUAAGAGAGGCACACAAUGUUUUUAGUAAUGUUCACUCAUUCUAAUAGUAUCGAUUACAAAGUAGAUUAAAACAGAGUAAGAUGCCACAUAAUUUAAAAAAACCCACCCUGUAUCCUGAACAAAAGAAGAGAAAUUUAGAACACUAUAUUGCCCAAUCUUAAAAACAGUUGGCUUUUGGGGGCUGAUUUAGUAGCUCCAUAGGGUAGUAUUAAAACUGACAAAUUUUCCCUAAAGCGGUGGACCAGAGGCACAACAGUCCUGUAGCUCUUCCUCUUCUGCAGGAAAUUGCUCACUGCAUGGUUCCAAUUUCAAAAUCUGCUUCCGUAACGCUCGAAUUUGUAGAAGUUUUAAAACAGCUCCUUUCUAAGAGUUUUCACCCUUCACAUAAAAGAGCACUUCAAUUUAACAAAAAACGUCCAAAUGCAAGUACUUGUAUUCAGGGACCAUUAAAGAUAAUGGAGAAAGGUGGCAUCCACAAAGCAAAAGCUGAGUUUAGUGAAGCUCAACAUGGAGAAAGACCAUGUCCUCCUCCAGAGGAUCACAGAAUCGACUGGGUUGGAAAAGACCUCAGAGAUCAUCAAGUCCAACCCUUGGUCCAACUCUAGUCCGUUUACUAGAUCAUGGCACUAAGUGCCAUGUCCAAUCUCAGUUUAAAAACCUCCAGGGACGGCGAGUCCACUACCUCCCUGGGCAGCCAUUCCAAUGCCUGAGCACUCUCUCUGUAAAGAAUUUCUUUCUAAUAUCCAGCCUAAAUUUCCCCUGCAGAGUUUAAUCCCAUGCCCCCUUGUCCUAUUGCUAACUGCCUGGGAGAAGAGACCAAUCCCCACCUGGCUAUAACUUCCCUUCAGGUAGUUAUAGAGAGUGAUGAGGUCACCCCUAAGCCUCCUCUUCUCUGGACUAAACAACCCCAGCUCCCUCAGCCUCUCCCCAUAGGUCUUAUGUUCAAGUCCCUUCACCAGUUGUGUUGGGAUGUUUCAGAGCAGUUUGCUGGUGUCCCAAAUCAUGAGAAAGAAAUAAUCGAUCUCUAUUACAGAAUAUCCCAUUGUCCCAGAUUUUCACAUCUGUGUCUGAAAUGUGGCCAACAUAAACCCAGGACGGUGAGCAGAGCUCUGCACUGGGGCACUCCGGUUAAUGAGCUGAAAACAUUAUUGACUAAGCCAAUACCAGCCUAAUGGGAAAUCUGUCUCCGCAUAUGCUGCAUAAUUUUUGUAUUAUUGAACCAACUAAGGAAUUGUUUAAUCAACAAAGCCAGCAGGAAACCCUCAAAUAGCAGGAAAGAGAAGAGACAUGCACUUGUUUGCUGAUUAAUUUUGUGCAUGUUCAUGCCUCUCAGGUUUGCUGUCUGCAACAGGGGGUGUCAACAUCCACCACUUUCAUCUUUGUGCUUCCCUCGGGACCAGCUGCAUCACAGCACCCAUUGCUUGGCCAACUUGGAUCUCACUGACAAUGGCCACAACAUCAUGUGGACACAUAUUUUCUGUUCAGGACUGAAGCAGUUUCCUGACCCAGGUGUGACUGUUUUAUAGGAAAGAUUAAAACUGAAGGCACGAGACAUACCUGCACUCUCCCAUGAGUACUCUUCAAUGAGAAGAAAACUAUCUUUUUAAAUUCUGAUGUACAUUUAUUGAUCCAGUUCUAUGGUUAAGUCGAAGUGUGGCCAAUAUGCCUGAAUUUUUAAAUACUUCCUCUACAUACCUGGGUUUGUUCCCAUUCUAGCCCUGUACUGGGCAGUGAUCCUUUGUUGUUAUGCACACUGGACAUGUGAAGCACCAUGAAAACAUGACCCAUGGCCUGGCUUGUUUAUCUUACUGUCUUCUAGAUAACCCAGCUGUAAACUAUAAACUCCUCAGAGCCAAGAAAUGGUCUGAUUUCUACACCUAAAAUUCCACACAAGCUCUGAAACACAAAACAUUUAUAAUUAUUUAAAUUACAUAAACCUCAUGUACUCGCCAGCAAAAGCUUGAAAUUAAGAAUGAACAUAUUGGUCCCCCUUUUAAUACCUGGUUCCACAGACAAGCCAACACACCCCGAUGAUACCUGAGUUCAGAUCAGGCGCCGCAAUGUUUCCAGGCAUCAUCAGUGGCAACCUCUGAGCCCUGAAAGGAGACAACACACCACUGAUGGACAACAUCAGAGAUUUGCUUUUGACACAGCCAUGUGUCAACAUUUAUCACAAUGUGUAACGUUGUGAUCAAACUUCUUUCAGUUCUUACAUGCCAAAUAUGUACUCCUCAUUGCUGCAGAUUUUGGGUUUUGGUUUGACCCUAGAGGGAGUUUUGCUUUUAGAAAGAGGCUUGCGUAAAUGAAGACACCAAAAUUAAUUUCUAGAAGCAACCAAUGAGUUUCUCUUAUUUCCAGUAUAUCAUACAUUACUUUUUCCUUUGCUUCUUUUUGAAAUGAAGUACUUAAACAUUUAUCUUAAACUAAACAAAUGGAAAGAAAUGUAAAAAGCGUUGUUAUGGGGAUACAACCAAAAUUCUGUAUAUGAGUUAUAUGCUGUAAAAGACUUGUACUCAUCCUUGUGUAUCCUUUUGAAAUACAUUAAAUCAAUUUUUGAGACUUC
Long non-coding RNA from Columba livia (rock pigeon), 4559 nucleotides. RefSeq lists it as uncharacterized. The transcript has 2 exons. The record is from RefSeq and is a predicted model, not a curated record. NCBI's taxonomy places the organism in Eukaryota, Metazoa, Chordata, Aves, Columbiformes, Columbidae.